RNAcentral lists this long non-coding RNA (1174 nucleotides) under Papio anubis (olive baboon). Its description in RNAcentral is "lncRNA (ENSPANG00000040173.1)". The record is from RNAcentral. Lineage: Eukaryota; Metazoa; Chordata; Mammalia; Primates; Cercopithecidae.
AUGUUAGGGAUGGAUAUGACUAGUGCCUCACCCAAACCUACUGCAUGCUUCCAGCUCAUCCAGCAACUCCAGCAGCACCCAGUCUCCUGCAGGAGGAAGCAGCUUCUCCAGGGCCUGGCUCUUGCAACCUGUUGUGACCAGCAGGGCCCAGCUUCCCCCAGAACUCCCUUGAAGAGCCUAGGAGUGAAAUGCCCCCCUCAAGGAGUCUCCUGUGACAAUUUCCCAGGGCAAUCCCCAAGAAAGUUUUGAGCUUUCAGGACUUCCUUUGGAAAGCAUUCACUGACCCCUCCAAGACUGGAUCAAGUGCCUAAGCGCCCCAUGUGAGACUAUUGUAAGAUGCCCACGCUGUUGGUCACUGACUGAUUACUCAUCCAUGUUUCCGCUGGACUGUCAGCUCCCCAAGGGCAGGAACUGUGUCUUCCUCAGAGUUGAAUCUGCAGGACCAGCACAGUUCCCAGCCAAACCAGCUCCUCAACCUAUGCCAUAGAAGGCAUGCACACUUUGUACUUAGAGCCACUGCUCCCCCUAACUGGAGCCUCUAAAUGCAGGUGGAUGGACCUCCUGAGAAACUGGGUGCCUGAAUUUGGAUAAAGAGUUCAGAGACAGGAACAAAGAGUAUUGUCUCCAGAGACCUUUCCCAUGUGGACUUUGAAUGCUCAUAGCUACAUCCCCCUUUAUUUCUCUGAUCACCUUUGCUCUCUACCCCUUAAAGUUCACUUAGCACUUUAUGUAGUACUGGAAAGAAAGUGGGCUUUGCAGUGAAGCCUGAUUUUUUGCCUCAUAGUGUUCUGCUUACCAGAGUCUUGGACAAAAUGGUAAGAAAACAGUCUUCCUCUCUCAAGCAGGAUGGGAUUCAUCUCCUUUCAAUACUGCAUACAUGCCUGUCUGAGGUUUACGGUGUUAUUUCUCUGUUCUAGUUCUACUAACAUUUCACUGAGAUUUGUGGGCAUAAAGAUUUAUGGAAAAAAUGGGAGCAGACAGGCAAGAAUAGCAGGACAAUGAAAGAAGCUAUAGGAUGUUAGAAGAGUUCAGGUGGAGCACGUUUGUCAGGAAAAAAUCUAAAUAUCAAAUAUUUAGUGUAAGAGUAUAUGGAACAACUAUGUCAUAAAUUUGUCUCCAAAAGCAUUUAGCAGAGUGCCCAAAAUAGAUUAUGUACUAAACAAAUGCUUACUGA